GCGAGGGGAUGAUAGAAUUCAUAAGUCUGUCAAUCCACUGAAUAAUAAUCCUCUGAUGUUAACUAUGAAUCCCGACAGGUUCUGAUCGC
Small nucleolar RNA from Coffea eugenioides, 89 nucleotides. RefSeq annotates it as small nucleolar RNA snoR14. The transcript has a single exon. NCBI's taxonomy places the organism in Eukaryota, Viridiplantae, Streptophyta, Magnoliopsida, Gentianales, Rubiaceae. The record is from RefSeq and is a predicted model, not a curated record.